AGCAGCCGCGGUAAUUCCAGCUCCAAUAGCGUAUAUUAAAGUUGUUGCAGUUAAAAAGCUCGUAGUUGAACUUCAGGCCUGGCUGGGCGGUCCGCCUUCCGGGUGAGUACUGCCUGUGGUCGGGUCCUACCUUCUGGCGAAGCGUCAUGGCCUUAACCGGCCGUGGCGGGGAACCAGGACUUUUACUGUGAAAAAUUAGAGUGUUCAAAGCAGGCACGCGCUUGAAUACAUUAGCAUGGAAUAAUGGAAUAGGACAGUGGUUCUAUUUGUUGGUUUCUAGGACCGUUGUAAUGAUUAAUAGGGAUAGUUGGGGGCAUUAGUAUUCAAUUGUCAGAGGUGAAAAUUCUUGGAUUUAUUGAAGACUAACUACUGCGAAAAGCAUUUGCCAAGGAUGUUUUCAUUAAUCAAGAACGAAGUUAGGGGAUCGAAGACGAUCAGAUACCGUCGUAGUCUUAACCAUAAAACUAUGCCGACUAGGAAUCGGGCGAUGUUGACAAAAUGACGCGCUCGGCACCUCAUG
This 520-nucleotide ribosomal RNA is filed under the name uncultured Paraglomus. RNAcentral describes it as "SSU rRNA". It matches the Rfam family "Eukaryotic small subunit ribosomal RNA", at positions 569 to 1092 of the family's 1831-position model. The record is from RNAcentral. Lineage: Eukaryota; Fungi; Glomeromycota; Glomeromycetes; Paraglomerales; Paraglomeraceae.